AGUAGGGAAUCUUCCACAAUGGGCGCAAGCCUGAUGGAGCAACACCGCGUGAGUGAAGAAGGGUUUCGGCUCGUAAAGCUCUGUUGUUAAAGAAGAACACGUAUGAGAGUAACUGUUCAUACGUUGACGGUAUUUAACCAGAAAGUCACGGCUAACUACGUGCCAGCAGCCGCGGUAAUACGUAGGUGGCAAGCGUUAUCCGGAUUUAUUGGGCGUAAAGAGAGUGCAGGCGGUUUUCUAAGUCUGAUGUGAAAGCCUUCGGCUUAACCGGAGAAGUGCAUCGGAAACUGGAUAACUUGAGUGCAGAAGAGGGUAGUGGAACUCCAUGUGUAGCGGUGGAAUGCGUAGAUAUAUGGAAGAACACCAGUGGCGAAGGCGGCUACCUGGUCUGCAACUGACGCUGAGACUCGAAAGCAUGGGUAGCGAA
This 427-nucleotide ribosomal RNA is filed under the name Limosilactobacillus fermentum. Its description in RNAcentral is "bacterial SSU rRNA". It matches the Rfam family "Bacterial small subunit ribosomal RNA", at positions 353 to 772 of the family's 1533-position model. The record is from RNAcentral. Lineage: Bacteria; Bacillati; Bacillota; Bacilli; Lactobacillales; Lactobacillaceae.